GACGAACGCUGGCGGCGUGCUUAACACAUGCAAGUCGAACGAUGAAACCUAGCUUGCUAGGUCGAUUAGUGGCGAACGGGUGAGUAACACGUGACUAACCUGCCCCUUUCUCUGGGAUAACGCUUCGAAAGGAGUGCUAAUACCGGAUACUCACAUCGAGGCACAUGCCUUGAUGUGGAAAGUUUUUCGGAAAGGGAUGGAGUCGCGGCCUAUCAGCUUGUUGGUGAGGUAACGGCUCACCAAGGCGACGACGGGUAGCCGGCCUGAGAGGGCGACCGGCCACACUGGGACUGAGACACGGCCCAGACUCCGACGGGAGGCAGCAGUGGGGAAUAUUGCACAAUGGGCGCAAGCCUGAUGCAGCGACGCCGCGUGAGGGAUGAAGGUCUUCGGAUUGUAAACCUCUUUCAGUAGGGACGAAGCGAAAGUGACGGUACCUAAAGAAGAAGCACCGGCUAACUACGUGCCAGCCGCCGCAGUAA
RNAcentral lists this ribosomal RNA (482 nucleotides) under uncultured bacterium. RNAcentral describes it as "partial 16S ribosomal RNA". It matches the Rfam family "Bacterial small subunit ribosomal RNA", at positions 28 to 523 of the family's 1533-position model. The record is from RNAcentral.